RNAcentral lists this ribosomal RNA (254 nucleotides) under uncultured bacterium. Its description in RNAcentral is "partial 16S ribosomal RNA". It matches the Rfam family "Bacterial small subunit ribosomal RNA", at positions 524 to 776 of the family's 1533-position model. The record is from RNAcentral.
UACGUAGGGUGCAAGCGUUUGUCCGGAAUUAUUGGGCGUAAAGAGCUCGUAGGCGGCUUGUCGCGUCGGCUGUGAAAACCUGGGGCUCAACCCCGGGCCUGCAGCCGAUACGGGCAAGCUAGAAUUCGGUAGGGGAGACUGGAAUUCCUGGUGUAGCGGUGAAAUGCGUUGAUAUCCUAAGGAACACCCGUGGCGAAAGCGGCUCACUGGGUCUCUUCUGACGCUGAGGCACGAAAGCUAGGGUAGCGAACGGG